RNAcentral lists this long non-coding RNA (751 nucleotides) under Citrus sinensis (sweet orange). Its description in RNAcentral is "long non-coding RNA (CSIN_LNC005560)". The record is from RNAcentral. Lineage: Eukaryota; Viridiplantae; Streptophyta; Magnoliopsida; Sapindales; Rutaceae.
AUCCAGUUAAUAGUCUGCUUGACGUUGAUCUCAAAAGUGGACGAGCAAUCCAGGUUCGAAUUUAUUACAAUCCAGACUUUGGACAACUCUCUAUUUAUGCGGCAUAUUCGGGGGAAACACUUGUGAAGGUGAUUGAAAAACCCAUUAACCUGUCAGAUAUAAUUCCAACGCCCGUCUAUGUUGGAUUCACAGCAGCUACGGGGGACUUUUUAGAAAGCCAUGAGGUUAUAAAUUGGACCUUCAACUCGUUCCCAGUGCCGCCUUCUCUCAAGGAGAAAAACCUGGUGAUGCCAAUAUAAUUCUAAACCGUCCUUGAAAAACCAUGUCACAUAAAUUAUAAUCAAUAAUAAUUAAUAUCACCAAUAAAGUGACAUGGCUCUUGCAUUAAAAUAUUGAAUAAAAUGAUAGCAGCGACUAGGAUUAAUACUGUUUGCUUGCUGUCUGAGAUGUACUGUAUGUGCUUAUGUAGAAAUGCUCAUAUUCAGCUUCUAUUGAUUACGUUGCAGCUUUGAGCUUCUGAUGUUUUCUUACCCUUUUCCUCGUUCUCUUCUUUAAGUUUAUCGGAACAAAAUUCUCUUCUCACGGUGGAUAUCAUAGCAUAAAAUUUAACCAUAGGAAACAAUGCAUGCAUCGCUAUAGAUAUUAAUUACAUGUGGAGUCCUUUUCUCCUGCGAACGUCUGUACGAAUUUUUGUGCGAUGGAACUCAGAUUUUUAGAACGUCGUACAUUUGCCUCUAGAUGUAUAUGACAA